Molecule: ribosomal RNA, 119 nt
Filed under: Candidatus Sungbacteria bacterium RIFCSPHIGHO2_01_FULL_51_22
Lineage: Bacteria; Candidatus Sungiibacteriota
Also listed under: 2 other names
Source: RNAcentral
CCCAGUGAUUUAGCGUUACGUGUACCACCUCUUCCCAUUCCGAACAGAGAAGUGAAAGUGUAACGUCCCGAUGAUACUUGGUGUAAAUCAACGCCCGGGAAAGUAGGGCUUUGCUGGGA